Molecule: long non-coding RNA, 458 nt
Filed under: Homo sapiens (human)
Lineage: Eukaryota; Metazoa; Chordata; Mammalia; Primates; Hominidae
Description: non-protein coding lnc-CCDC93-2:1
Source: RNAcentral
AGCAGCCCACAGCAGCCGAGUUCGCGCCGCCGGUAGGUGCUGCCAUGCCAGGGGGCGGGAUCGUGGAGCGCCUCGCAGAACCGCACGAAAGCAAAAACAAAGCCAUCUCUCCGGAGCAGAAAUAGAACAGACGUGGCCGGGGAAAGCCAAAUAUUUGUGGCUGGACUCAGACACAUCACGCUCCAGUUUGGGUUCCAAGGUGCUUCUCUCUGGAUUUUCACCUGCCUUGCCAAAAAUGAUUGAUUACGCUGGGCCAACUGGGUGUCCGGCAAUACCCAACAAAUGACUUUGGCCCCUAACAGCAGGUCUUGGCCAGACAGAAAUCAAUAUUUCACCAUUAAAAUCUAUCAAAGAAGAGUUAAGGCACCAUCUGUCCCUGCCGCCUCUCUAUGGUGUGUGAACAUUAAAUCCGACACUUGUACUACAUGGGUAAUCAAUAUAUAGUGGUUCACAGAUCA